This 447-nucleotide ribosomal RNA is filed under the name uncultured bacterium. Its description in RNAcentral is "partial 16S ribosomal RNA". It matches the Rfam family "Bacterial small subunit ribosomal RNA", at positions 29 to 507 of the family's 1533-position model. The record is from RNAcentral.
AACGAACGCUAUCGGUAUGCUUAACACAUGCAAGUCGGACGGACUAAUUAGGGCUUGCUCCAAUUAGUUAGUGGCAGACGGGUGAGUAACACGUGGGAAUCUGCCCAUCAGUACGGAAUAACUUUUAGAAAUAAAAGCUAAUACCGUAUAUUCUCUACAGAGGAAAGAUUUAUCGCUGAUGGAUGAGCCCGCGUCAGAUUAGGUAGUUGGUGAGGUAACGGCUCACCAAGCCGACGAUCUGUAGCUGGUCUGAGAGGAUGAUCAGCCACACUGGGACUGAGACACGGCCCAGACUCCUACGGGAGGCAGCAGUAGGGAAUAUUGGACAAUGGGCGAAAGCCUGAUCCAGCAAUACCGAGUGAGUGAUAAAGGCCCUAGGGUUGUAAAGCUCUUUUAGCAAGGAAGAUAAUGACGGUACUUGCAGAAAAAGCCCCGGCUAACUCCGUG